This 495-nucleotide ribosomal RNA is filed under the name Bombina bombina (fire-bellied toad). RNAcentral describes it as "partial 16S ribosomal RNA". Lineage: Eukaryota; Metazoa; Chordata; Amphibia; Anura; Bombinatoridae. The record is from RNAcentral.
CUGGUUGCUCGAGAAAAGAACAUAAAUUCUGCCUUAAACCUUAGACACCAUAAAAGUGUACUCCAGCUUUAAGAGUUAUUCAAAUGGGGUACAGCUCAUUUGAAACAGGAAACAACCUAACACCUAGGUAAAGAUUAUACUUUUUAAGGUCUUGACAAAGUUGGCCCAAAAGCAGCCACCUUUUAAGAAAGCGUCACAGCUCAAACAAACAACCACACUAAUACCUAUAACUUUUUCUGACCCUGCCAAACUAUCGAGCCCAUUUAUACUAGUAUAAAAAAGUUUAUGUUAGAACUAGUAACAAGAAACGAACUUCUCUUAAUGCAAGUGUACAUCAGAUUGAACCACUCACUGAUAACUACCGGCCCAUCACUAAGGGAAAUGUAAAAACCCUUCAAGAAAAUCCUACAUAACUAGCCGUUAAACUUACACAAGAGCAUCUAAAGAAAGAUUAAAAGGUGAGGAAGGAACUCGGCAAACAUGAACUUCGCCUGU